AAGGAGACCGCCAGCGCUAAGCUGGAGGAAGGAGAGGUCGACGGCAGGUCAGUACGCCCCGAAUCUCCCGGGCUACACGCGCGCUACAAAGGACAGGACAAUGAGUUGCGACCUCGAAAGAGGGAGCUAACCUCGAAACCUGUUCGUAGUUAGGAUUUGAGGGCUGUAACUCGCCCUCAUGAAUGUGGAUUCCGUAGUAAUCGCGGGUCAACAGCCCGCGGUGAAUAUGCCCCUGCUCCUUGCACACACCGCCCGUCAAACCAUCCGAGCUGGUGUUGGAUGAGGGUAUGUUCGAGAGGACAAACUCGAAUCUGAUGUCAGUGAGGAGGGUUAAGUCGUAACAAGGUAUCCGUAGGGGAACCUGCGGAUGGAUCACCUCCUAAGUAAUGUGAGUACAGGGCACAAU
This 406-nucleotide ribosomal RNA is filed under the name uncultured archaeon. RNAcentral's name for it is "bacterial SSU rRNA". It matches the Rfam family "Archaeal small subunit ribosomal RNA", at positions 1098 to 1478 of the family's 1478-position model. The record is from RNAcentral.